ACGUAGGGGCCUAGCGUUAUCCGAAUUUACUGGGCGUAAAGCGCGUGCAGGCGGCUGUGUAAGUGGAUUGUGAAAUCUCCCGGCUCAACUGGGAGGGGACGGUCCAGACUGCGCAGCUGGAGGCAGGCAGAGGGGGAUGGAAUUCCGCGUGUAGCAGUGAAAUGCGUAGAUAUGCGGAGGAACACCGAUGGCGAAGGCAAUCCCCUGGGCCUGCACUGACGCUCAUGCACGAAAGCGUGGGGAGCAAACAGGA
This 253-nucleotide ribosomal RNA is filed under the name uncultured prokaryote. RNAcentral describes it as "partial 16S ribosomal RNA". It matches the Rfam family "Bacterial small subunit ribosomal RNA", at positions 525 to 777 of the family's 1533-position model. The record is from RNAcentral.